Molecule: ribosomal RNA, 253 nt
Filed under: uncultured bacterium
Lineage: Bacteria
Description: partial 16S ribosomal RNA
Rfam family: Bacterial small subunit ribosomal RNA
Source: RNAcentral
UACGGAGGUGGCAAGCGUUGUUCGGAAUUACUGGGCGUAAAGGGCGCGUAGGCGGCAAGGCAAGUCAGGUGUGAAAGCCCCGGGCUUAACUCGGGAAUUGCAUCUGAAACUGCUGUGCUUGAGUUCUGGAGGGGGUAGUGGAAUUCCCAGUGUAGCGGUGAAAUGCGUAGAUAUUGGGAGGAACACCUGCGGCGAAGGCGGCUACCUGGACAGAAACUGACGCUGAGGCGCGAAAGCUAGGGGAGCGAACGGG